RNAcentral lists this ribosomal RNA (354 nucleotides) under uncultured bacterium. Its description in RNAcentral is "bacterial SSU rRNA". It matches the Rfam family "Bacterial small subunit ribosomal RNA", at positions 9 to 353 of the family's 1533-position model. The record is from RNAcentral.
GAGUUUUGAUCCUGGCUCAGGAUGAACGCUAGCUACAGGCUUACACAUGCAAGUCGAGGGCAGCAUGGUCUUAGCUUGCUAAGGCCGAUGGCGACCGGUCGCACGGGUGAGUAACACGUAUCCAACCUGCCGUCUACUCUUGGACAGCCUUCUGAAAGGAAGAUUAAUACAAGAUGGCAAUCAUGAGUCCACAUGUUCACAUGAUUAAAGGUAUUCCGGUAGACGAUGGGGAUGCGUUCCAUUAGAUAGUAGGCGGGGUAACGGCCCACCUAGUCUUCGAUGGAUAGGGGUUCUGAGAGGAAGGUCCCCCACAUUGGAACUGAGACACGGUCCAAACUCCUACGGGCGGCAGCA